This is a long non-coding RNA of Pantherophis guttatus, 584 nucleotides long. RefSeq lists it as uncharacterized. The record is from RefSeq and is a predicted model, not a curated record. Lineage: Eukaryota; Metazoa; Chordata; Lepidosauria; Squamata; Colubridae.
AUUAUCGUGAUGUUCCAGAGUUACGAAAUAUGAAAAGAACAUUCCUUGGUUUUUCACAUGUAAAUAAUUCUCUUUUCUUUUCCUGCAUGGCAAUAUCAGUCACGAGAUGUCUUGAAGACUUUAAUCUAGUCAAGUCAUAAAUACCAUUAGUAUUCCAAAAAAGCCUCAGCUUUUCCUCAGUAGCUGUAGAAAAAGAAUAAGAGACAAUUUUGACAAUGCAAUGCAAGAAGAGUUAUAUUCUUGCUAAUGCAGCUUAGCCCUGAAAAAAGGAACUCUACCUUGAUUUUUCCAUGGUAUAAGAGGAAGAAGAAAGAAAUUCUGUCAGGUUUUCAUGAUUCUUCUAUCAUAAUUUGUAACAGUAAAAUAGAUUUCCAGUGUUUCCUGACUCUGGUUUUGAAGACCUGAUAAUAGCUUGUAGAAUGCUGUCUCAUCUGAUGGGUCCAUUAUCCAAUACCAUAUUGUCAAUCACUUCAGACUCUCUUUCCAUUCGGUUUUCUUGAAAAAUGUAGGUGUGGUUUACUAUUGCCUUCUCUCAUGCAGUUGACAUGUUGCCUUUGCAAUUCUCAAUAAAGUGAUUAUCUGCC